Molecule: ribosomal RNA, 738 nt
Filed under: Diplodia scrobiculata
Lineage: Eukaryota; Fungi; Ascomycota; Dothideomycetes; Botryosphaeriales; Botryosphaeriaceae
Description: SSU rRNA
Rfam family: Bacterial small subunit ribosomal RNA
Source: RNAcentral
GGUCAAUGGCCUAACGGCUGAACCAGCAACUUGGGGGAAUGGAUAUAUAUAUUAGAGAUAAUAUAUAGUACCGACUUUGUCGGAUAAAGUUCUAGAUAGAAUAAUGAUAAUGACAAUUUUCUAUCUAUAUGUCUUGACCAAAUCUUGUGCCAGCAGUCGCGGCAACACAAGGGAGACUAGUGUUAUUCAUCUUUAUUAGGUUUAAAGGGUACCUAGACGGUAUAUCAUGCCCCAAAAGGGAACGGAUAUACUAGAGUUUUAUGUGAGAGGCAAAUAUAGUACUAUUGGUGUAGAGAUAAAAUUCAUUGAUACCUCUAGGCACGGGUAACGGCGAAGGCAAUCCUCUAUGUAAAAACUGACGUUGAGGGACGAAGGCUCGGGUAGCGAAUAGGAUUAGAUACCCUAGUAGUCCGGGCAGACAAUUAUGAAUGUCAUAGAUUAGAAAUAUUUGGUCUAUAAAUGAAAGUGUAAGCAUUCCACCUCAAGAGUAAGGCGGCAACGUUGGAACUGAAAUCAUUAGACCGUUUCUGAAACCAGUAGUGAAGUAUGUUAUUUAAUUCGAUGAUCCUCGAAAAACCUUACCACAAUUUGAAUGUUAAUUAAUAAAAUUAACACAUGCGUUGCAUGGCUGUCUUCAGUUAAUGUCGUGAGAUUUGGUUAGAUCCAAAAAAUUAUCGUAAACCCUUGUUCUUUAUUUGUUUGAAUAAUGCAGUUAACCGCUAUAUUGGAUUAUAUAAC